CUCCCGCCGGCGACCGGCGCACGGGUGAGUAACACGUAUGAAACCUGCCCGUAGCAGGGGGAUAAGCGGAAGAAAUUCCGUCUAAUACCGCGUAACAACCCAUGGAGGCAUCUCUGUGGGUUUAAAGGAAGCGAUUCCGGCUACGGAUGGUCAUGCGUCGCAUUAGCUUGUUGGCGGGGUAACGGCCCACCAAGGCGACGAUGCGUAGGGGUUCUGAGAGGAAGGUCCCCCACACUGGUACUGAGACACGGACCAGACCCCUACGGAAGGCAGCAG
RNAcentral lists this ribosomal RNA (276 nucleotides) under uncultured bacterium. RNAcentral's name for it is "partial 16S ribosomal RNA". It matches the Rfam family "Bacterial small subunit ribosomal RNA", at positions 82 to 354 of the family's 1533-position model. The record is from RNAcentral.